This 18-nucleotide small nuclear RNA is filed under the name Arabidopsis thaliana (thale cress). RNAcentral describes it as "snRNA_16204". Lineage: Eukaryota; Viridiplantae; Streptophyta; Magnoliopsida; Brassicales; Brassicaceae. The record is from RNAcentral.
GUAAUAUAAGUUUUGUCC